Molecule: ribosomal RNA, 425 nt
Filed under: uncultured bacterium
Lineage: Bacteria
Description: partial 16S ribosomal RNA
Rfam family: Bacterial small subunit ribosomal RNA
Source: RNAcentral
GUGGGGAAUAUUGGGCAAUGGGGGAAACCCUGACCCAGCAACGCCGCGUGAAGGAAGAAGGUUUUCGGAUCGUAAACUUCUAUCCUUGGUGAAGAUAAUGACGGUAGCCAAGAAGGAAGCCCCGGCUAACUACGUGCCAGCAGCCGCGGUAAUACGUAGGGGGCAAGCGUUGUCCGGAAUGAUUGGGCGUAAAGGGCGCGUAAGCGGCCUGGUAAGUCUGGAGUGAAAGUCCGGCUUUUAAGGUGGGAAUUGCUUUGGAUACUGUCGGGCUUGAGUGCAGGGGAGGUAAGCGGAAUUCCCGGUGUAGCGGUGAAAUGCGUAGAGAUCGGGAGGAACACCAGUGGCGAAGGCGGCUUACUGGACUGUAACUGACGCUGAGGCGCGAAAGUGUGGGGAGCAAACAGGAUUAGAUACCCGUGUAGUCC